RNAcentral lists this long non-coding RNA (456 nucleotides) under Coturnix japonica (Japanese quail). Its description in RNAcentral is "lncRNA (ENSCJPG00005017958.1)". The record is from RNAcentral. Lineage: Eukaryota; Metazoa; Chordata; Aves; Galliformes; Phasianidae.
AAAAGAGCUAUUUUUCUUUUCCUGCAGGUGUUUGAGCUAGUUAGGAACCAAAACACAUGCUUCCUACAGUGAGAAAAAUCAAAGAGUCUAUAUGAAAGCAACGAGCACUACCUCUGCAAGUAAAAUAAACAAGCACACAAAUCGCCCUAGAAAAACCUGUGAAAGGGAAAGACUGCCUGUUUGUUUCUGUUUACUGCUUCACCUUGGGUCUUAUUUGGGCAGAAGUUACCAAACUGUACUAAAUUAUACUGAGCUGUGGUGGUCUGGAGAUAACAACAAACUAAACGACAAACAAAAGGACCACCAGUGUGAUGAUUGAGCCUCUUGAUGCAUCUGCUCCAUGUGAAUUAACAUACUAGAUCAUUCUUUGGAUCUGAUACAGGAGGCAUUUUCUGAGCACCGAUAAGGUAAGCACAAAAACAGUGGGGAAAUUGUGCUGCCUUCUUGGUGCAUGAA